AGCUAUUUAAUGAUGAUUGCGAGAAUUUGUAAUGAAUGUCUGUAUUUUCAGGUUUAAAUAAAUAAACAUUAGUGAUUUUCUCUUAUAUAGUAACAACACGUCUUCGAAAUAAUUCUCUUUUUAUUGUGUCGUUUGGCUGCAUUCGGCUUCAGCCAAGCGCUUGCACUCGGUGACACGGAAUGUUGUUUACAUCUAAAAACGUGGCGACAGCAGCUGAGAUAUGCAGUGGAUAAAUGCAACAAUCAGGCAAUCUUUAAAGAGAAUAGGGAUAAAAUAAGAGACCUGGGCCUUGUUUAUCUUUUUGAUGAGAAGAUGAUGACGUUAUUUCGGGAAAUCAUGGAAAACUGAGACGAUCCGCACUACCUCCCUAGGUCCCUUUCUGUUCAUUAAGCUAUCACAGAACUGGUUAAAACUAGCAUUUACAUCAGCUAGAACUAUCAAAAUAGAUGCAUCAAUUUCUCCACUGGCUACAUGUACUCCCAAACAAUUUGAACAAUUCAUUCAGGCAGCAAGUGUUUCCACCAAUAAAAUAAAAAGAAUUGCUUUCAUCCAGAAGAACUGUUUGAACUGUGGACUGUUUGAAAUAUUUUGAACCUGCUCAGAAAUCCCUUCACAGCUUGUCUUUGAAUUUGAAAGGCUGUUUUUAAUUAAAUAAA
Molecule: long non-coding RNA, 656 nt
Organism: Saccostrea echinata
Lineage: Eukaryota; Metazoa; Mollusca; Bivalvia; Ostreida; Ostreidae
Exons: 4
Source: RefSeq, a predicted model, not a curated record